Amborella trichopoda is the source of this 5458-nucleotide non-coding RNA. Lineage: Eukaryota; Viridiplantae; Streptophyta; Magnoliopsida; Amborellales; Amborellaceae. The record is from RefSeq and is a predicted model, not a curated record.
CUUCCGCUUUCAGAGAGAGAGAGAGAGAGUCCCCUGAGCUUCUGUGAGAAUUUGAAAGAGUCCAUUGAUCUUCUAUUAGAUUUGGGAGGCUUUUUUUUAGAUUAUAUCCCUCUGGUUCUUCUUUUUCAGAGCCGUGCUCUUUGUUUGUUAUUCCUCUGUUCGGUAGUUUUUCUCUGAGUUUAGUGAAGAGUUUUCUCUGAUUUUAACGAAGCUGAGAGAAUGAAAGCAAACCGUUCCUUAGGGAUUCUCAGAAGGGCUUAUGGAAGAGAUAACGUGAAUACUUUGGGGGAACUGAUAGUGAAAAUGCUUUCAAUAAGGCAGGAAGAUUUUAAUGGUGGAUGCGGGUGUAGUGGGUCUGGGUGCUUGGGAUGCAGCCCUCAGCCAUUAGGGUUUCUGCUCAGAGAAGGAGACCAUGAAGAAUAUAUUGACCUGGUUACUAACACCCUAGCAGUUGCUCAUGAGCUUCCUCAUCACUCACUACCCUUUCUCUCUCAAGUCCAAUGGCAACAGGAUCAGCUUGUUAUGAGAAUUAUAGAUAUGGAAGCUUGCUCGACAGGGUCACAGAAUGUGAUAUGUUUGGGUUAUGAAAAGUGGACUAAUUUCAGCCCUGUCAUGAGUAUUAUGAGUUCUAGAGCUUGGAUCCAACUAUUGUCAAGGAUUGGUGAUUCUUACAUGGUUCAUAUUCUUAGGCAUGUAUCUAUAUUCCUUCCACUUUCUGGUGGGAAUCUCCUGCAGAUGACUGGUCCUCCAAUUAGUAAUUCUCAGCAGCUUGUCAAGGGCACAGCUUCUAUCAGCUAUGUAUCACAACUGAACAUUGAGAAUCGUGGCGUAAAUUUGGGCAUGCUUGUCAAAUCUGAUUGUGGGUUGAAGGAUCGAGCUGGUGUAAAACGAAAAAGGGAUACUACUACCCUGCAACUCAAUAGUUCUUUUGGCACUUGUCCCUCCUCGGUUUCAGAGACUACCACGAUUGACAACAAACAAAGAAAGCGCAAAAGACCAUUUAGUUUUCAAAGGAGGAAGCUGCAUGGAAAGGGAUUCUGUCCUUCACAUGAUGAAGACAUUUCUGCUACUACAAUAACAUCUAGCAGGCCAGGUUUUCCUAUUGAAGAGGUGGAGAUGAGAUGCUUUUGCUCCUUGGUAUGGAAAGUAAAUCAAAGAGUUUCAAGUAUGACUAAAAUUGAUAGACAAGGUCUCCUCCAUGAUCCUAGUGUCUCUCCUUGUGCUGUUUUUCCUCCAGGUCAUAUCUUGAACAAGUUGAAGCCUAACAGAUCAGGUGCAAUUUCCCUUAUCAAGCUUAUCUUCAGCCUACCUGAUGAUUUUGAUUCACACGUCAACUAUGUUAGUGAUUGUCCCUUUGGAUCACCCUUACUCCAUACACUUAUGAAGUUUCUGAAAAUUCUCAUACACAAUGCACAGCGAUGUCAGUAUCAAAUUCUACUGAGAAGACACUGCCCUCUUCCAAUUGUUAAAAAAAACAGAAAAAAGUUAUCUGACUCUUUCAUAGGUGAAAAAGGUGGAACUCCGUUCCAGCUGUCACAAAGGGCUAGACCUCUGCGAGAAUCCUCUAGGGAAGUCAUUUGUAAUACAAAUGAAAUUUGUUCCGAGAAGACUCCAAAGUUGGCAGGUGAGCAAUCCAAGUUGAAUGGAUCAUAUAGUAAAUAUGAACAGGUAGCUUCAUUUGUAUGGGCUGUUUGUCGGAGUGUGAUUCCAGUAGAAUUACUUGGGUCUUCUAAGAAUUGGAGGUCUUUGAAAAGAAAUAUUGCUAAGUUUGUACAGCUAAGGAGAUUUGAGAACUUUAACCUUCAGCAGUGCAUGUUCCAGCUCAAAUUAUCUUGCUUCCCCUGGUUGUCUAAAAGAACCACUACUACGUCCUGCUGUACUUGCACAGAAACUUUUAUUGAUAGUCAUACUACAAGAAGUGGACCACCAGAACUUUUUAAUGGAUUGCAGGGCCUUCAAGAUGUUGUCACGAAAAGAAAAUUGCGAACUUUGCAUAAAAAGCUGUUAGAUUGUUGGGUCUAUUGGAUCUUUUCAUCUUUUGUAGUACCUCUUUUACGUGCACAUUUUUAUGUGACGGAGAGCCAAUGGGGCAGGCAAAAAGUUUUCUAUUAUAGGAAAUCAGUUUGGAGACAAAUAACAAAGAAAGGAAUUGAUUGUUUGAAAGAAAACAAUUUUGAAGUUUUCACUUCAACAUCACAAGAGGAGAUUUUCCUUGAAAGGUCACUUGGAUUUUCGAGGUUGAGGUUUAUCCCCAAAGACGAUGGAGUUAGGCCUAUCUCACAUCUUAGCGCACCUUGUAAAGCUCGUCUCCCUCUUCGGAAGUCAUGCCCUGAAGAUAGUUAUCUCAGAAGAAAGAAAGUGAUUGCAAAGUCUGGGAAUCCCCAAAGAAGGGAUUCAAGAUUGAAAUCCAAUGGAAUUUCUUUCAAAUCUGUUAAUUUUGUUCUUCGUGAUGUGCAUUCCCUCUUGAAAGCUAUAAUGGUUGGACAUCAAGAACAAUUGGGUUCCUCAGUUUUUGAUUAUAAUGAUGUUUAUAAGCAACUUGUCCCAUUCAUUUCUAGUUUGAGAUUGGGAUCAAUGUCUUUGCCAAAGCUGUAUAUCAUUGUUAGUGAUGUCUCUAAAGCGUUUGAUGCAAUUGAUCAAGACAAACUUUUUGGUAUUAUGGAGUGGAUUUUGAAUAAAGAUGAAUAUCCUCUAGAACAAUAUAAAAAAGUUUCAUGCACGAGGAGGUCCUUAAAAUUUCGUAAAGAAGUUAUGAUCAAGGAAAGCAACGAUAGAGGUUUUAUGCACUCAGCAGCAAUUGUUGGCAUGAGUACUUCACGAUGUGGCCUGAUUUAUCAGGGAUCUACUAUAAUGAAACGGGAAAAGCUUCUCCUUCUUCUCCAUGAACAUCUGAAGGGAAAUAUUUUGAAAUUGGGUUCUGAUUUCUAUUUACAGAAAGUUGGUAUAGCCCAAGGAAGCAUCUUGUCAUCCUUGCUUUGUUCAUUCUAUUAUGGUCAUCUCGAAAGAAACACCAUUUUUCCAUUGCUCGAAAAUCAUGAAUAUCAAAGGAAUGUAUGCAGAGGUCCCAUUUUCCAUAAGUAUUUACUACUCCGAUUUGUUGAUGAUUUUAUUUUUAUAUCGACUUCUGAAGAGCAAGCAACUCACUUGUUUUCGAGCUUUCGUAAGGGCUUCCAAGGUUACAAUUGCUUUAUGAAUGAGGAAAAAUUUUGUUCUAAUUUUGGUUCAGAAAUCUCAAAAGAUUUCUCAAUGCAAGUUGCUUAUACUGGUGUGGAUGGUAACUCAUUUAUUCGUUGGAGUGGUUUGCUGCUAAACUGUCAAACAAUGGAAAUCUUGGCAGACUACAUGAGGUAUUGGGGUACACAUAUAAGCUCAACUGUCACUGUGUGGCGACAAGCAAAACCAGGCUCUCACUUGAAGGGGAAAUUAUGUGAUUAUAUGAGACCCAAAUGCCAUGCAUUAUUCUAUGACUCUAAUAUCAACUCUUCACCCGUAGUAAGAUUGAAUGCAUACCAGGCCUUCCUUCUUUGCGCAAUGAAGUUCCACUGUUAUGUUCGAUCCUUGCAGAAGAUUCCUGGCCUCUGCCCAAGAUAUUACAUGAAGAUAAUCUUGAGAUCCUUCAGAUACAUGUACAUGCUUAUCAAGAGGAGAAUGCAUACUAUCUCUCGCAUGACGGAUAUAAAUCCUGUAUUUCAAUUGAAAAAGAAAGAAGUUGAAUGGCUUGGACUGUCUGCAUACAUUCGUAUUCUGAAUAAGAAGCAUGCAUUGUAUGCGGAGCUACUUUGCAUGUUGAGAUCUAAACUGAGAAGUUAUGGACAUAUGGAUAAGGUCUCACCUGACUUAUGCUAUGCAGUUGAUGAUUCUCACUCCUCCAUUCUUUGGAAAAUCAAGUAUUAAAUGGAGAAAGAAGAAAUUAGAAUUGAUGAGAAUAGUUUUCAAUUAAACGAAUGGAAAUUAAAAGAAGAGCAAGUUGAAUUAGUUAAUGCGUCUGGAUUGGGUCCCUUGUCUAUCAUUCGGCCAUACCGAAUUGAUCAUCCUUUGGUCUCAGCCAAUGUAGAGAGGUGGCGUUCUGAGACCAACACAUUUCAUUUCAACAUUCAUAUUGGUGAGAUGACACCAACGCUAUUUGAUGUAUACGAGAUAUUAGGACUGACUGUGGAUGGCGAGCCAAUUACAUGUCGUCCUAUCAGUGACCUGCUAUAUUAUAUAGAAGAAAAUUUGGGUAUAGUCCCUGAUGGCAACCUGACAAGCCUGAGGCAUCCAUGGUUGAAGGUGAAUUUUAGGGAAUUGCCACCUGAUGCAACCCUUAUUCAAGUUUAUAGAUAUACUCGAGCAUAUCUGCUCUUCCUCAUCAGUGUCACCAUAUUCGCUGAUGUAUCAGUUUCAACAGUGCCAACAAGGUACUUGUAGUUUUUUGAAGAUAUUGAGGGAGCCAGCAAAUAUGCUUGGGAUGCUGCAGCCCUUGCAUUCCUCUAUCGCUCACUGGGAACAGCUUGUACAUUCAAGCGAAGACAUUUUAGUGGUUCAACCACUCUCAUGCAGGGCCAAAAGAUGGGAGCCCUCGAAGAAAUAUCAUGGCAAUCCACAUAACAUAAUGCCUCCCAUCAGACAAGAAUUUGAUAACCUCCAACCUAAUGAUGUAGGAGGCAUUUGAAACUGCAAUGUGCCUAAAGCUGUACAUGCCAGAUCGAGUACGGCGGCAAUUUGGAGCUAAACAUGGCAUUCCUAGAAAUCCCUUGGUUGUUGGUAAGAGGGCUAGCAGACAAGGUGGAUAUCAAAAUUGGCGAAGUGUGAAUGCAGAUAAAAUCCACCACUGGUUGUCUUGCCAUGAGUGCUUGAUGCAUGAUAUUCAAGUAGAUACUGACAAUGGGUUGCCCUCAGAGGACUACAAGGAAUGGUACAACCUAGUGUCCCAUCCUCUAAUACAUAAUGUCGCUAACCCACCCAAAGCUAUAUUGCAACCUCAUAACUAGGAAGAAGAAGCAAAAUAUGUGGUUCCUGCUCAUGAACCACAAUAUAUAAUGAGACCUCGAGGUUAUGAGAACCAGUUGGUUAAUGCAGUUCAAGCAUCUACAGUCAUGUUAGCAGAGGCACUUACACUUGGACAAAAGUGGUAUCCAGAAGUUUAUAAUCGUGUUAACAACGAAUUUGAAACGUUGUCUAAGUUUGUGCCUGUUGAUAUGGAUGACAUAGAAGCCAGGAUGACAAGUUUACAACUUGAAUAUCAUAACAAAGGUGUACCUAAUGAGGCCGGACAUGAUGGAGUGGGUGAAAGUAGUCGAGUUAUAAAAGACCUAGCUACAUCCACAAAACCAGCAGUUGAGGAGCCUAGAAGAUAUAACACAAGAAAGAAACAGUAUCAGUCUAAGAGAAGGCGACCAAUGUAAUGGAGUCUUGACCCUUGUAAUUUUGUUCAUAUCUUCAUUUUGAAUAUUUUGGAACAAUUAAUUUGUUCAUUUUG